GUUAAAGCAAAAAUGACACUUUUAUAUACUUAUGUAUAAAUAUCUUUUAAAAGAUGGAUAUAUUUGCACCAAUUUAUAUGAUAAACAGAAUGAGAUCCAUCAAUACAGUUUAGUUUUCAGAACUAAAUUGUAGGAGAGAACAUACUCUCCACAUGAAGUUUAGCUUGCUUAAGUUCUAGAGUAAUUAAUCAAAUUCUAAAAUAGAUGCAACAAGUAUUGGCAUUGGGUAUAGAGCUGAAAUUAAUUAUUUAGAACCCAGACCUAUCCCCACCCAUCCGGCCCCAAGAAGAUAGAAAUUCUUAGGCAAUUAUCUUAUUUUGUGGAUUGUACGUGGCUUGCUUAGAAAGACAGAAACAGAAACAAUGUACUGGUGGAAAAAGCCAAUUAUUUUCGGUUUCAUUUAGAAAUAUUUGAUUAUUCAUUCUUGAAGAUGAAAGACAGAAAAAGAGUGAAUUGAAUGGGUGGGGGUAAUCGAUGUAUCUUUCAAAGCAAGAUACUUUGGGGUUGGCUCCACUAUUUUAAAACGGAGAUAAAGCAGAACAACAAUAACCAAAAACACACACCCAAAAAUAAUAAUAAUAAGGAAUUCAGAGUGGAUACGAAGGAAUAGAAUACCUUUCUUCCUAUCCAGUUAUUAGCAAUAUGAGCAGACAAUAAAGAGGGAAAAGAGGUUGCCAGGAUUUUUUGUUUGGCUUGACUACCUAUCUCUAACUUUGUGCAUGUAGAAUACUUGCUUAUCCCUGCUCUUUAGAGCUAUUACCUACCCUUCAUCUGGAGGUCACUCACGUGACAUCGUGACUACUAGUGCUGCACUGGAGGCUUGACCUUGACUUCCAUAAGGAAAUCAGUGAGCUCAGUGUUUUACUUUUUAAUCUCCUUUACCCAAGAGAAAGAAAUAUUGGAGGAAGUUGGAGGAGUUCGGGAGUGGAAGAGGGAGCUGGUGGAGAGAGUUGUUAUAGCCGGCCGACCAGUUGUCUCUAACCCGCUUUUUGCUCAUGGGCAAUGGGAGACCUGCAGGGAGGGAGGGAGCCUCUUGCUCCGGCUCUCCAGCGCAGCCAGCCUGUGCGGCUCACCAGUGGCAGCUGCUGCGGAUCCCACAAGUUGUUUUCCUCGUGGCGACCAUUCAGCAAAACGCACGAUCUUUUCUCAAAGAUUUAAAUUUCGCGGAUGAAUUACCAUACACCGGUUGCUUAGCAACUAAAUUCAAGCAGGGCUAAGAAUAUGCAAGCUUUUUGUAUUCUCAUUAAUAAAAAUGCCACUCUGACACAGCAA
Antechinus flavipes (yellow-footed antechinus) is the source of this 1272-nucleotide long non-coding RNA. RefSeq lists it as uncharacterized. The transcript has 2 exons. Lineage: Eukaryota; Metazoa; Chordata; Mammalia; Dasyuromorphia; Dasyuridae. The record is from RefSeq and is a predicted model, not a curated record.